CAUACGACUCUCGGCAACGGAUAUCUCGGCUCUCGCAUCGAUGAAGAACGUAGCGAAAUGCGAUACCUGGUGUGAAUUGCAGAAUCCCGCGAACCAUCGAGUCUUUGAACGCAAGUUGCGCCCGAGGCCAUCCGGCCGAGGGCACGCCUGCCUGGGCGUCACGC
Molecule: ribosomal RNA, 164 nt
Filed under: Aegialina lapalmae
Lineage: Eukaryota; Viridiplantae; Streptophyta; Magnoliopsida; Poales; Poaceae
Description: Trisetaria loeflingiana 5.8S ribosomal RNA
Rfam family: 5.8S ribosomal RNA
About the family: 5.8S ribosomal RNA (5.8S rRNA) is a component of the large subunit of the eukaryotic ribosome. It is transcribed by RNA polymerase I as part of the 45S precursor that also contains 18S and 28S rRNA.
Source: RNAcentral